RNAcentral lists this ribosomal RNA (875 nucleotides) under Amanita subtropicana. Its description in RNAcentral is "partial large subunit ribosomal RNA". It matches the Rfam family "Eukaryotic large subunit ribosomal RNA", at positions 76 to 908 of the family's 3401-position model. The record is from RNAcentral. Lineage: Eukaryota; Fungi; Basidiomycota; Agaricomycetes; Agaricales; Amanitaceae.
UCCCUUAGUAACUGCGAGUGAAGUGGGAAAAGCUCAAAUUUGAAAUCUGGCAGUCUUUUUUUUCUCCUUUGGCUGUCUGAGUUGUAAUCUANAGAAGUGCUUAUCUGUACUGGGCCAUGUACAAGUCUCCUGGAAUGGAGCAUCAUAGAGGGUGAGAAUCCUGUCUUUGACAUGGACUGCCAGUAUAUUGUGGUGUGCUCUCAAAGAGUUGAGUUGUUUGGGAAUGCAGCUCUAAUAAUGGGUGGUAAACUCCAUCUAAAGCUAAAUAUUGGCGAGAGACCGAUAGUGAACAAGUACCGUGANGGAAAGANGAAAAGGACUUUGNGAAAGAGAGUUAAAAAGUAUGUGAAAUUGUUGAAAGGGAAAUGNUUGAGGUCAGUUGUGCCAAGAUAGGGAUCAAUCUAGUUUUUUUCUGGGUGAAUUCUCUNGUNUGACNNGCCAACAUCANUUUUGAMUGCUAGANAAGGGNAGAGGGAAUGUGGCANCCUUGGGUGUGNNUAUAGCCUUCUGUUGGAUGUGGCAGUUGGGANUGANGGAAUGCAGCMUGCUGUGAAANCUGGGUUUUGACCNCCUUCNUGCUUAGGAUGUUGGCAUUUAAUGGCUUCCAUCGACCCNUCUUGAAACMCGGACCAMGGAGUNUAACAUGCCUGCAAGUGUUUGGGUGGUUAAAACCCUUGUNCACAAUGAAAGUGAAAGCUGAGAAUCCUNGUCUGGNGGNNCAUUGGCGNCCGGCCUUGAGCNUUUUUAGCAAUGGAUCUGUGGUAGAGCAUGCAUGUUGGGACCCGAAAGAUGGUGAACUAUGCCUGAAUAGGGCAAAGCCAGAGGAAACUCUGGUGGAGGCUCGUAGCGAUUCUGACGUGCAAAUCGAUCGUCGA